ACAAAAUCAAGGUGAAGAAAAACAAACAGUAUAAAAUUAUGGUACGGUUUGGUUUGGUACGAUUAGUCUAUCCAAAGACAAUAUAAACUUCAAGCUGAGUGACGUCACACAACAGAGCAUAACAUA
Drosophila arizonae is the source of this 126-nucleotide long non-coding RNA. The record is from RefSeq and is a predicted model, not a curated record. Lineage: Eukaryota; Metazoa; Arthropoda; Insecta; Diptera; Drosophilidae.